This 1066-nucleotide ribosomal RNA is filed under the name Salmonella enterica subsp. enterica serovar Newport. RNAcentral describes it as "partial 23S ribosomal RNA". It matches the Rfam family "Bacterial large subunit ribosomal RNA", at positions 559 to 1547 of the family's 2925-position model. Lineage: Bacteria; Pseudomonadati; Pseudomonadota; Gammaproteobacteria; Enterobacterales; Enterobacteriaceae. The record is from RNAcentral.
UGUACGUACAAGCAGUGGGAGCACCCUUUUGGGUGUGACUGCGUACCUUUUGUAUAAUGGGUCAGCGACUUAUAUUCUGUAGCAAGGUUAACCGAAUAGGGGAGCCGGAGGGAAACCGAGUCUUAACCGGGCGUUAAGUUGCAGGGUAUAGACCCGAAACCCGGUGAUCUAGCCAUGGGCAGGUUGAAGGUUGGGUAACACUAACUGGAGGACCGAACCGACUAAUGUUGAAAAAUUAGCGGAUGACCUGUGGCUGGGGGUGAAAGGCCAAUCAAACCGGGAGAUAGCUGGUUCUCCCCGAAAGCUAUUUAGGUAGCGCCUCGUGAAUUCAUCUCCGGGGGUAGAGCACUGUUUCGGCUAGGGGGCCAUCCCGGCUUACCAACCCGAUGCAAACUGCGAAUACCGGAGAAUGUUAUCACGGGAGACACACGGCGGGUGCUAACGUCCGUCGUGAAGAGGGAAACAACCCAGACCGCCAGCUAAGGUCCCAAAGUCAUGGUUAAGUGGGAAACGAUGUGGGAAGGCCCAGACAGCCAGGAUGUUGGCUUAGAAGCAGCCAUCAUUUAAAGAAAGCGUAAUAGCUCACUGGUCGAGUCGGCCUGCGCGGAAGAUGUAACGGGGCUAAACCAUGCACCGAAGCUGCGGCAGCGAACGUAUCACUUAAAGCGAUUCAGCGGGUUACGAUUGACGGAGCGAAGCGACGUCAAAGCGUAUACAAAGUCGAGUCGGUUUAAGGAUACGUUCGUUGGGUAGGGGAGCGUUCUGUAAGCCUGUGAAGGUGUGUCGUGAGGCAUGCUGGAGGUAUCAGAAGUGCGAAUGCUGACAUAAGUAACGAUAAAGCGGGUGAAAAGCCCGCUCGCCGGAAGACCAAGGGUUCCUGUCCAACGUUAAUCGGGGCAGGGUGAGUCGACCCCUAAGGCGAGGCCGAAAGGCGUAGUCGAUGGGAAACGGGUUAAUAUUCCCGUACUUGGUGUUACUGCGAAGGGGGGACGGAGAAGGCUAUGUUGGCCGGGCGACGGUUGUCCCGGUUUAAGCGUGUAGGUGUGUGUUCCAGGUAAAUCCGGUU